This 786-nucleotide ribosomal RNA is filed under the name uncultured bacterium. RNAcentral describes it as "bacterial SSU rRNA". It matches the Rfam family "Bacterial small subunit ribosomal RNA", at positions 66 to 848 of the family's 1533-position model. The record is from RNAcentral.
ACGACAUCGAAAGCUUGCUUUUGAUGGGCGUCGACCGGCGCACGGGUGAGUAACGCGUAUCCAACCUGCCCAUCACUUGGGAAUAACCUUGCGAAAGUAAGACUAAUACCCAAUGACAUCCCACGAAGGCAUCCGAAUGGGAUUAAAGAUUUAUCGGUGAUGGAUGGGGAUGCGUCUGAUUAGCUUGUUGGCGGGGUAACGGCCCACCAAGGCGACGAUCAGUAGGGGUUCUGAGAGGAAGGUCCCCCACAUUGGAACUGAGACACGGUCCAAACUCCUACGGGAGGCAGCAGUGAGGAAUAUUGGUCAAUGGGCGAGAGCCUGAACCAGCCAAGUAGCGUGCAGGAUGACGGCCCUAUGGGUUGUAAACUGCUUUUAUAAGGGAAUAAAGUGGGUCACGUGUGACUUUUUGCAUGUACCUUAUGAAUAAGGACCGGCUAAUUCCGUGCCAGCAGCCGCGGUAAUACGGAAGGUCCGGGCGUUAUCCGGAUUUAUUGGGUUUAAAGGGAGCGUAGGCCGGAGAUUAAGCGUGUUGUGAAAUGUAGUGGCUCAACCUCUGCACUGCAGCGCGAACUGGUCUUCUUGAGUACGCACAACGUGGGCGGAAUUCGUGGUGUAGCGGUGAAAUGCUUAGAUAUCACGAAGAACUCCGAUUGCGAAGGCAGCUCACGGGAGCGCAACUGACGCUGAAGCUCGAAAGUGCGGGUAUCGAACAGGAUUAGAUACCCUGGUAGUCCGCACGGUAAACGAUGGAUGCCCGCUGUUGGCCUGAAUAGGUCAGCGGCC